AGUUUGAACUGUUGCUGCCAGCAAUGCUAGUUUUGAACCGUUGCUGCCGAGGAUGCUGGCUUUGCUGCUUUGGAUAGAAACUGCUGACUUUGGUGCUAACUGUCAUUUCGGACAGAGAAUGCUGCUGAGGGGGACUUUGUCUUUGCUUCUGCUUUUGUUGCUGCCAAGCCGAGAGAAUAGGGACUUAAUCUGCUGCCAUUUCGAUUCGUAUACUGACUAGGUGAAUGUGAUUCUAUUUACCAUAACAAUUCACAUACUGAGGAAACAUUCAACACCCAAUAAAGAUGUAUCAACCAUUAAGAAUACAAAGGGGCUUCUUUUUAAGUCUAUUGCUCAGUUCCUUGCUUUUGGUUGCACAUGGCUAUUCAGCAUCUUCCACUUUCAGAAGGAGACCCUUGUGAUGUCAUACAUUUUCACGACACUGAACAGCUUCCAUGGAGUGUUUAUGUUUCUGCUCUAUUGUGCUGCUAAUAA
Long non-coding RNA from Protopterus annectens (West African lungfish), 474 nucleotides. RefSeq lists it as uncharacterized. The transcript has 3 exons. The record is from RefSeq and is a predicted model, not a curated record. NCBI's taxonomy places the organism in Eukaryota, Metazoa, Chordata, Ceratodontiformes, Protopteridae.